UGUGACCCAAGUGUGCGAGCCGAAGAGAGAUCGGAGGCUCACAUGCAAACCCUUAAACAUACCCCCAUGAAGUAUCAGAAUGUACCUUGCGUUAACUCGCACAAAUAUAACUUUCAACAACGGAUCUCUUGGCUCUCGCAUCGAUGAAGAACGCAGCGAAAUGCGAUAAGUAAUGUGAAUUGCAGAAUUCAGUGAAUCAUCGAAUCUUUGAACGCACCUUGCGCCCCUUGGCAUUCCGAGGGGCACGCCUGUUUGAGUGUCGUGAACUCCUCCACCCCCUACCUUUUCCGAAGGGUAUCGGGCUGGGAUUUGGGAGCUUGCGGGUCCCUGGCCGAUCCGCUCUCCUUGAAUACAUUAGCGAAGCCCUUGCGGCCUUGGUGUGAUAGUCAUCUACGCCUCGGCUUAGCGAACCCGUGGGCAUCGCUUCGAACCGUCUCGCAAGGGACAACGACUUAACUACUUGACCUCAAAUCAGGCGGGACUACCCGCUGAACUUAAGCAUAUCAAUAAGCGGAGGAAAAGAAACUAACAAGGAUUCCCCUAGUAACUGCGAGUGAAGCGGGAUGAGCUCAAAUUUAAAAUCUGGCGUCUUCGGCGUCCGAGUUGUAAUUUAGAGAAGCGUUUUCCGUGC
Molecule: ribosomal RNA, 631 nt
Filed under: uncultured fungus
Lineage: Eukaryota; Fungi
Description: eukaryotic LSU rRNA
Rfam family: 5.8S ribosomal RNA (bases 109-262)
Source: RNAcentral